GACGAACGCUGGCGGCGUGCUUAACACAUGCAAGUCGAACGGAAAGGCCUGCUUUCCCUUGUGGAUUGCGGGUACUCGAGUGGCGAACGGGUGAGUAACACGUGAGUGAUCUGCCCCCAACUUGGGUAUAAGCCUGGGAAACUGGGUCUAAUUCCCGAUAGGACUGCAGGGUGGUGCCUGUGGUGGAAAACGAUUUUCUAGUGGUUGGGGAUGAGCUCGCGGCCUAUCAGCUUGUUGGUGGGGUAAUGGCCUACCAAGGCGGCGACGGGGAGCCGGCCUGGGGGGGUGGACGGCCACAUUGGGACUGAGAUACGGCCCAGACUCCUACGGGAGGCAGCAGUGGGGAAUAUUGCACAAUGGGCGGAAGCCUGAUGCAGCGACGCCGCGUGGGGGAUGACGGCCUUCGGGUUGUAAACUCCUUUCGACCGCGAGGAAGCCACCUGGUUGGAAGGGUGGUGACGGUAGUGGUAGAAGAAGCACCGGCUAACUACGUG
This 494-nucleotide ribosomal RNA is filed under the name uncultured bacterium. Its description in RNAcentral is "partial 16S ribosomal RNA". It matches the Rfam family "Bacterial small subunit ribosomal RNA", at positions 28 to 507 of the family's 1533-position model. The record is from RNAcentral.